CUCGGCUGAGGAGUCGUUCCCAUAUUUCAUGGCAACUCCAGAAUUCAUGACUGCACUUUUCAGAGCCGGGCUCUUCCUCCUCCAGGUCUCAGAGCUUAGGAGUGGGGCUUAACAGGCUGGGUAUCCACUGCUUGAUCCCUUUUGGCACAUCUUAGUCUAGACAGCCAUUUUCACUCAGGACACUGUUCGGAAAGCCCAGGAAGGAUGC
RNAcentral lists this long non-coding RNA (208 nucleotides) under Marmota monax (woodchuck). Lineage: Eukaryota; Metazoa; Chordata; Mammalia; Rodentia; Sciuridae. The record is from RNAcentral.